RNAcentral lists this unclassified non-coding RNA (378 nucleotides) under plant metagenome. Its description in RNAcentral is "partial contains 5.8S ribosomal RNA, internal transcribed spacer 2, and large subunit ribosomal RNA". The stretch from base 1 to 105 matches the Rfam family "5.8S ribosomal RNA", at positions 50 to 154 of the family's 154-position model. The record is from RNAcentral.
GAAAUGCGAUAAGUAAUGUGAAUUGCAGAAUUCAGUGAAUCAUCGAAUCUUUGAACGCACCUUGCGCUCCUUGGUAUUCCUUGGAGCAUGCCUGUUUGAGUAUCAUGAAAUCUUCAAAGUAAAUCUUUUGUUAACUCAAUUGGUUUCUACUUUGGUAUUGGAGGUCUUUGCAGCUUCACACCUGCUCCUCUUUGUUCAUUAGCUGGAUCUCAGUGUUAUGCUUGGUUCCACUCGGCGUGAUAAGUUAUCUAUCGCUGAGGACACUGUAAAAGGUGGCCAAGGUAAAUGCAGAUGAACCGCUUCUAAUAGUCCAUUGACUUGGACAAUACAUUUAUGAUCUGAUCUCAAAUCAGGUAGGACUACCCGCUGAACUUAAGC